CUAACCUCGGAUCAGUCGUGAAUACCCGCUGAACUUAAGCAUAUCACUAAGCGGAGGAAAAGAAA
This 65-nucleotide ribosomal RNA is filed under the name Plethorchis acanthus. RNAcentral describes it as "partial 28S ribosomal RNA". It matches the Rfam family "Eukaryotic large subunit ribosomal RNA", at positions 1 to 64 of the family's 3401-position model. The record is from RNAcentral. Lineage: Eukaryota; Metazoa; Platyhelminthes; Trematoda; Strigeidida; Aporocotylidae.